GUCUAUGGCCAAGCUACCCUGAACAAGCCCGAUCCCAUCUGACCUCUGAAGCUAAGCAGGGUCAGGUCUGGUUAGUACUUGGAUGGGAGACUAUCUAGGAAGAUCAGGUGCUGUAGGUG
This 119-nucleotide ribosomal RNA is filed under the name Pteropus alecto (black flying fox). The record is from RNAcentral. Lineage: Eukaryota; Metazoa; Chordata; Mammalia; Chiroptera; Pteropodidae.